UACGUAGGGUGCAAGCGUUACUCGGAAUUACUGGGCGUAAAGCGUGCGCAGGCGGCUUUGCAAGUCAGAUGUGAAAUCCCCGGGCUUAACCUGGGAACUGCAUUUGUGACUGCAUGGCUAGAGUGCGGCAGAGGGGGAUGGAAUUCCGCGUGUAGCAGUGAAAUGCGUAGAUAUGCGGAGGAACACCGAUGGCGAAGGCAAUCCCCUGGGCCUGCACUGACGCUCAUGCACGAAAGCGUGGGGAGCAAACAGG
Molecule: ribosomal RNA, 253 nt
Filed under: uncultured bacterium
Lineage: Bacteria
Description: partial 16S ribosomal RNA
Rfam family: Bacterial small subunit ribosomal RNA
Source: RNAcentral